Molecule: ribosomal RNA, 458 nt
Filed under: uncultured organism
Description: partial 16S ribosomal RNA
Rfam family: Bacterial small subunit ribosomal RNA
Source: RNAcentral
ACGUACACUCCUGCGGGAGGCAGCAGUGGGGAAUAUUGCACAAUGGGCGCAAGCCUGAUGCAGCGACGCCGCGUGGGGGAUGAAGGCCUUCGGGUUGUAAACUCCUUUCGCUAGGGACGAAGCUUUUUUGUGACGGUACCUAGAUAAGAAGCACCGGCUAACUACGUGCCAGCAGCCGCGGUAAUACGUAGGGUGCGAGCGUUGUCCGGAAUUACUGGGCGUAAAGGGCUCGUAGGUGGUUUGUCGCGUCGUCUGUGAAAUUCUGGGGCUUAACUCCGGGCGUGCAGGCGAUACGGGCAUAACUUGAGUGCUGUAGGGGUAACUGGAAUUCCUGGUGUAGCGGUGAAAUGCGCAGAUAUCAGGAGGAACACCGAUGGCGAAGGCAGGUUACUGGGCAGUUACUGACGCUGAGGAGCGAAAGCAUGGGUAGCGAACAGGAUUAGAAACCCCUGUAGUCC